RNAcentral lists this ribosomal RNA (253 nucleotides) under uncultured bacterium. RNAcentral describes it as "partial 16S ribosomal RNA". It matches the Rfam family "Bacterial small subunit ribosomal RNA", at positions 524 to 776 of the family's 1533-position model. The record is from RNAcentral.
UACGGAGGGUGCAAGCGUUAUCCGGAUUUACUGGGUUUAAAGGGUGCGUAGGCGGGCCUUUAAGCCAGUGGUGAAAGCUCCGAGCUUAACUCGGAAACUGCCAUUGAUACUAUUGGUCUUGAAUUCGGUCGAGGUUGGCGGAAUGUGUCGUGUAGCGGUGAAAUGCUUAGAUAUGACACAGAACACCGAUUGCGAAGGCAGCUAGCUAGACCGACAUUGACGCUGAGGCACGAAAGCGUGGGGAUCAAACAGG